Long non-coding RNA from Corylus avellana, 812 nucleotides. RefSeq lists it as uncharacterized. Lineage: Eukaryota; Viridiplantae; Streptophyta; Magnoliopsida; Fagales; Betulaceae. The record is from RefSeq and is a predicted model, not a curated record.
UCUCUUCCAACUUAAGAAAAGAAAAUAAAAGAAUAAAGGGCUAAGCCCUUUGGCGGUUCUUACACAUGCUGCACACCCCCUUUCUUCUCCCCCUUUGUCUCACUAUUUCUUCUCCUCACACACACACACACACGGCCUUGAGAGAGAGAGCUUUGAAGAUUGAGAGAGAGAUCACGGAAGAGAGAGAAAGAACAGGUUUGAGUGAGAAAGAGAGCUGCUGGCCUUGAGAAGAAGAAGAAGAAAUCUUGGAGGCGAUUCCAGUCAUGGAAGCUUGAAUGGGGCAAGCAUAGUAAGGACAAGUACAAAUGGUACACAGAGAAACAAGAAUGACAAUGAUGAGCAUGAGCAUGCAUAUCAUAUGAGUUAUAUGAUGAUGAUGAUUUAUGAUGUUUUCAAAUGAUGGUUCUUUUGGAAAACUAGUAAGUUUCCAUACUGCUGAGCGUCUCUAUUUUAUGAAGACGGCGGGCUCAUAAUUCUGCCUGUAUCACAGGUGGUGGUGAUUCCCGUGGUGCAGACGAUGUUGUGGAUGUAGGUACAAAAAUUGUAGGUGAGGAUCCUGUGGCCAGGCCAUGUAUUUGGGCUACGAUGUUUGAGGCCUAAAGGCAUCAUAUGUUUAUUUUGUUGGGCUAGUUGUUGGUCCCCUUUUGUAUAAGCAUUCAUGUAUAUGUUUAGACAUUGGUAUUUUGUAUAUGGCUCGUGUCACAUGUGACACUUUUGUAUAGCCAUUCUUUUGUAUGUAAAGCAUUAUUCACAUAGAUGUAUUGUCAACUCUAAUGUGUUAUGUUAUUUAUAUUCCAGUGCAAAUAUAUGAA